Molecule: ribosomal RNA, 1317 nt
Filed under: human gut metagenome
Description: bacterial LSU rRNA
Rfam family: Bacterial large subunit ribosomal RNA
Source: RNAcentral
UGCUGGAGGUAUCAGAAGUGCGAAUGCUGACAUAAGUAACGAUAAAGCGGGUGAAAAGCCCGCUCGCCGGAAGACCAAGGGUUCCUGUCCAACGUUAAUCGGGGCAGGGUGAGUCGACCCCUAAGGCGAGGCCGAAAGGCGUAGUCGAUGGGAAACAGGUUAAUAUUCCUGUACUUGGUGUUACUGCGAAGGGGGGACGGAGAAGGCUAUGUUAGCCGGGCGACGGUUGUCCCGGUUUAAGCAUGUAGGCUGGUUGUCCAGGCAAAUCCGGAUAAUCAAGGCUGAGGUGUGAUGACGAGGCACUACGGUGCUGAAGUAACAAAUGCCCUGCUUCCAGGAAAAGCCUCUAAGCAUCAGGUAACAUCAAAUCGUACCCCAAACCGACACAGGUGGUCAGGUAGAGAAUACCAAGGCGCUUGAGAGAACUCGGGUGAAGGAACUAGGCAAAAUGGUGCCGUAACUUCGGGAGAAGGCACGCUGGUGUGUAGGUGAAGUCCCUGCGGAUGGAGCUGAGACCAGUCGAAGAUACCAGCUGGCUGCAACUGUUUAUUAAAAACACAGCACUGUGCAAACACGAAAGUGGACGUAUACGGUGUGACGCCUGCCCGGUGCCGGAAGGUUAAUUGAUGGGGUUAUCCGUAAGGAGAAGCUCUUGAUCGAAGCCCCGGUAAACGGCGGCCGUAACUAUAACGGUCCUAAGGUAGCGAAAUUCCUUGUCGGGUAAGUUCCGACCUGCACGAAUGGCGUAAUGAUGGCCAGGCUGUCUCCACCCGAGACUCAGUGAAAUUGAACUCGCUGUGAAGAUGCAGUGUACCCGCGGCAAGACGGAAAGACCCCGUGAACCUUUACUAUAGCUUGACACUGAACAUUGAGCCUUGAUGUGUAGGAUAGGUGGGAGGCUUUGAAGCGUGGACGCCAGUCUGCGUGGAGCCAACCUUGAAAUACCACCCUUUAAUGUUUGAUGUUCUAACGUUGGCCCCUUACCGGGGUUGCGGACAGUGUCUGGUGGGUAGUUUGACUGGGGCGGUCUCCUCCCAAAGCGUAACGGAGGAGCACGAAGGUUAGCUAAUCCUGGUCGGACAUCAGGAGGUUAGUGCAAUGGCAUAAGCUAGCUUGACUGCGAGCGUGACGGCGCGAGCAGGUGCGAAAGCAGGUCAUAGUGAUCCGGUGGUUCUGAAUGGAAGGGCCAUCGCUCAACGGAUAAAAGGUACUCCGGGGAUAACAGGCUGAUACCGCCCAAGAGUUCAUAUCGACGGCGGUGUUUGGCACCUCGAUGUCGGCUCAUCACAUCCUGGGGCUGAAGUAGGUCCCAAGGGU